AGUUUGAUCCUGGCUCAGGAUGAACGCUGGCGGUCUGCUUAACACAUGCAAGUCGAACGGAGUGCUUCGGCACUUAGUGGCGGACGGGUGAGUAACGCGUGAGAAUCUGCCCUUAGGACGGGGACAACAGCUGGAAACGGCUGCUAAUACCCGAUGUGCCGAGAGGUGAAACAUUUUAUGGCCUGAGGAUGAGCUCGCGUCUGAUUAGCUAGUUGGUGGGGUAAGAGCCUACCAAGGCGACGAUCAGUAGCUGGUCUGAGAGGAUGAUCAGCCACACUGGGACUGAGACACGGCCCAGACUCCUACGGGAGGCAGCAGUGGGGAAUUUUCCGCAAUGGGCGCAAGCCUGACGGAGCAAGACCGCGUGCGGGAGGACGGCCUAUUGGUUGUAAACCGCUUUUGAUAGGGAAGAAGUACUGACGGUACCUAUCGAAUCAGCAUCGGCUAACUCCGUGCCAGCAGCCGCGGUAAUACGGAGGAUGCAAGCGUUAUCCGGAAUUAUUGGGCGUAAAGCGUCCGCAGGUGGUUAUUCAAGUCUGCUGUUAAAGCGUGGAGCUUAACUCCAUAUCGGCAGUGGAAACUGGAUGACUAGAGUUCGGUAGGGGUAGCGGGAAUUCCCAGUGUAGCGGUGAAAUGCGUAGAUAUUGGGAAGAACACCAGCGGCGAAAGCGCGCUACUGGGCCGAGACUGACACUGAGGGACGAAAGCUAGGGGAGCGAAAGGGAUUAGACACCCCUGUAGUCCUAGCUGUAAACGAUGGGCACUAGUGUUGCGCGUAUCGACCCGUGCAGUGCCGUAGCUAACGCGUUAAGUGCCCCGCCUGGGGAGUACGCACGCAAGUGUGAAACUCAAAG
This 854-nucleotide ribosomal RNA is filed under the name uncultured bacterium. RNAcentral describes it as "bacterial SSU rRNA". It matches the Rfam family "Bacterial small subunit ribosomal RNA", at positions 10 to 906 of the family's 1533-position model. The record is from RNAcentral.